GGGGAAUAUUGGACAAUGGGCGAAAGCCUGAUCCAGCCAUGCCGCGUGUGUGAAGAAGGUCUUCGGAUUGUAAAGCACUUUAAGUUGGGAGGAAGGGUUGUAGAUUAAUACUCUGCAAUUUUGACGUUACCGACAGAAUAAGCACCGGCUAACUUCGUGCCAGCAGCCGCGGUAAUACGAAGGGUGCAAGCGUUAAUCGGAAUUACUGGGCGUAAAGCGCGCGUAGGUGGUUCGUUAAGUUGGAUGUGAAAGCCCCGGGCUCAACCUGGGAACUGCAUCCAAAACUGGCGAGCUAGAGUACGGUAGAGGGUGGUGGAAUUUCCUGUGUAGCGGUGAAAUGCGUAGAGAUCGAGAGGAAUACUCAUUGCGAAGGCGACCUGCUGGAACAUUACUGACGCUGAGGUGCGAAAGCGUGGGGAGCAAACA
Molecule: ribosomal RNA, 426 nt
Filed under: uncultured Pseudomonadaceae bacterium
Lineage: Bacteria; Pseudomonadati; Pseudomonadota; Gammaproteobacteria; Pseudomonadales; Pseudomonadaceae
Description: bacterial SSU rRNA
Rfam family: Bacterial small subunit ribosomal RNA
Source: RNAcentral